UACAGAGGGUGCGAGCGUUAAUCGGAAUGACUGGGCGUAAAGGGCGAGUAGGCGGGAUGACAAGUGAGGUGGUAAAGACAUGGGCUUAACCUAUGGGUGACACUUUAGACUGUUAUUCUAGAGAGCGGGAGAGGGGAGUGGAAUUUCCGGAGGAGCGGUGAAAUGCGUAGAUCUCGGAAGGAACACCGGUGGCGAAGGCGACUUUCUGGCCUGCAUCUGACGCUGAGGCGCGAAGGCGUGGGGAGCAAACAGG
This 253-nucleotide ribosomal RNA is filed under the name uncultured bacterium. RNAcentral describes it as "partial 16S ribosomal RNA". It matches the Rfam family "Bacterial small subunit ribosomal RNA", at positions 524 to 776 of the family's 1533-position model. The record is from RNAcentral.